GGCAAACGGGUGCGGAACACGUACGCAACUUACCCAAAACUGGGGAAUAGCCCGGGGAAACCGGGAUUAAUACCUCGUAAGAUAAUGAAGUGGCAUCACUUUAUUAUUAUAGCUCCGGCGGUUUUGGAUGGGCGUGCGACUGAUUAGGUAGUUGGCGGGGUAACGGCCCACCAAGCCUACGAUCAGUAACUGGUGUGAGAGCACGACCAGUCACACGGGCACUGAGACACGGGCCCGACUCCUACGGGAGGCAGCAGUAAGGAAUAUUGGUCAAUGGACGCAAGUCUGAACCAGCCAUGCCGCGUGAAGGAUGAAGGUCCUCUGGAUUGUAAACUUCUUUUAUAUGGGAAGAAACCCACUUUUUCUUGAGUGGUUGACGGUACCAUAGGAAUAAGCACCGGCUAACUCCGUGCCAGCAGCCGCGGUAAUACGGAGGGUGCAAGCGUUAUCCGGAUUCACUGGGUUUAAAGGGUGCGUAGGAGGGCAGGUAAGUCAGUGGUGAAAUCUCCAAGCUUAACUUGGAAACUGCCGUUGAUACUAUCUGUCUUGAAUACCGUGGAGGUGAGCGGAAUAUGUCAUGUAGCGGUGAAA
RNAcentral lists this ribosomal RNA (591 nucleotides) under uncultured Flavisolibacter sp. RNAcentral's name for it is "bacterial SSU rRNA". It matches the Rfam family "Bacterial small subunit ribosomal RNA", at positions 97 to 686 of the family's 1533-position model. Lineage: Bacteria; Pseudomonadati; Bacteroidota; Chitinophagia; Chitinophagales; Chitinophagaceae. The record is from RNAcentral.